UAACUUCUGUAAUUAUCAAGUCUGUUUCAGCAUUUCGACAUCAAAAACAAGAUACACUUCAAUAAUGUAAUUGAACCUAGGCUACAAUUAGGCCCUAUGUAUUCCCCAUACAUAAAUAAAAUAAGGUUGAAUCCCUGAAGAGUGAUGAAUGCAGCCAAGGAAAACAUGAAGAAUAGAAAAGAAAGUGGAAAAUAACACAGGUAAGACAAAUAAAUCAGUUCUUACUUUUUAAUAUUUACAUAGGCUAUCAAGCUGUUGGUAAGCUGACAAGAUAAGUUAUUAAGGAAAAUUACUUUUUUUUUUUUAGUUAUUGCAUUUAAGACUGUUAUGCAGCGCAAAAAUAAAAGUGUGAAAGCCAAUCAAAUGAGCUCGUGAUCGAGUGACGUCACUUAGGGUACGCGCAUGUAUCCAUGGCAACGCUGAGUGACAGUUAACGGUCAUGGUGAUUUCCCCAGAUAUGGCCUUGAGUUUUCGCUUUUGUCCGGUCGAAAAGACGAGAGCUGUGUACUCCUGAACUUCUUCCCAGAGACAUAACGUUAUUUCCUUUCGCUGGCAAUGCGGGGCAGACAGGGCAUAGGAAACACCGGAAGUAAGUGUUUUACCUCAAUUGCGAUAUGUGUUUUAUAAGAUGUUAUUACUUUAUGACGAUAUUAACGUUACGCAGUGCUUUUAACAAGGAAACGUAAGAAGUAAGUGUUUUACCUCAUUUAACAUAUAUAUUUUAUAGCUGUAUGCUUCUAAACCAACAUAAACGUUUCUUACAGAUCUCAUUUGCAUUACAGUGCUAACGUAGAGGUCAUUUUUAACAGGGAAACGGACAGAGAAGUUGGUUUUAUCAAGGAAAACACAGAAAAUCUGAAUUGCUAUGCAGUGCUGACGUGGAGGUUGCUUUUAACAGGGAAACACUUGAAGUUUCGAACAUAAGGGUGGAAUCAGACCUGGAUAACGAACAACAUCUGGAACACACGUCAGACGACAGACAGACAAGCACACACACAAAAGAAAAAUAUUUUAAC
Labeo rohita (rohu) is the source of this 1016-nucleotide long non-coding RNA. RefSeq lists it as uncharacterized. The transcript is spliced from 5 exons. The record is from RefSeq and is a predicted model, not a curated record. NCBI's taxonomy places the organism in Eukaryota, Metazoa, Chordata, Actinopteri, Cypriniformes, Cyprinidae.